CACCCCUGGUGACUUUAGUUCUGGGCUUUGACAGGCCUUUCAGCCAGCCUGCAUCUGGGCCAGGCCUGCAGCUCUGCCCACUGCUUGAGGAUUUGCAUGUGCCUAGAGCACAGUCUACUGCGCCAAGAAUUUCUUUAUAGUCUGCUCACACUCUGUGCAGGAGUCAGUUGCAGUCAGCAUACAGCAUGGACAUGAAGGCCCCUGCUCAGCUCCUGGGGCUCCUGCUGCUCUGGCUCCCAGGUUCCAGAUGUGACAUCCUAAUGACUCAGUCUCCAUCCUACUUGUCCGCGUCAGUAGGAGACAGAGUCUCCAUCACUUGCAGAGCCAGUCAGGGCAUUGGUACUAAUUUACAUUGGUAUCAGCAGAAACCAAGGAAAGGUCCUAAACUUUUGAUUUAUUGGGCAAACAGCUUGCAAACCGGGGUCCCAUCCAGAUUCAGUGGCAGUGUAUCUGGGGAAGAGUACACUCUCACCAUCAGCAGCCUUUAGCCUGAAGACUUUGCAACUUAUUACUGUCAACAAGGUAGUAGGUACCCUCCCACA
Dipodomys spectabilis (banner-tailed kangaroo rat) is the source of this 542-nucleotide non-coding RNA. Lineage: Eukaryota; Metazoa; Chordata; Mammalia; Rodentia; Heteromyidae. The record is from the annotation of a RefSeq genome assembly.